AACGAACGCUGGCGGCAGGCCUAACACAUGCAAGUCGAGCGAACCCUUCGGGGUUAGCGGCGGACGGGUUAGUAACGCGUGGGAAUAUACCCUUUGGUACGGAAUAGCCUCGGGAAACUGAGAGUAAUACCGUAUGUGCCCUUCGGGGGAAAGAUUUAUCGCCAAAGGAUUAGCCCGCGUUGGAUUAGAUAGUUGGUGGGGUAAUGGCCUACCAAGUCUACGAUCCAUAGCUGGUUUGAGAGGAUGAUCAGGCAACACUGGGACUGAGACACGGCCCAGACUCCUACGGGAGGCACGCAGUGGGGAAUCUUAGACAAUGGGCGCAAGCCUGAUCUAGCCAUGCCGCGUGGACGAUGAAGGCCUUAGGGUUGUAAAGUCCUUUCAGAUGGGAAGAUAAUGACGGUACCAUUCAGAAGAAGCCCCGGCUAAUCCGUGCCAGCAAGCCGCGGUAAAGUAGAC
RNAcentral lists this ribosomal RNA (459 nucleotides) under uncultured bacterium. RNAcentral describes it as "bacterial SSU rRNA". It matches the Rfam family "Bacterial small subunit ribosomal RNA", at positions 29 to 530 of the family's 1533-position model. The record is from RNAcentral.